This 74-nucleotide transfer RNA is filed under the name Phycisphaerales bacterium. RNAcentral's name for it is "tRNA-Arg". It matches the Rfam family "tRNA". Rfam says of the family: Transfer RNA (tRNA) molecules are approximately 80 nucleotides in length. Their secondary structure includes four short double-helical elements and three loops (D, anti-codon, and T loops). Further hydrogen bonds mediate the characteristic L-shaped molecular structure. tRNAs have two regions of fundamental functional importance: the anti-codon, which is responsible for specific mRNA codon recognition, and the 3' end, to which the tRNAs corresponding amino acid is attached (by aminoacyl-tRNA synthetases). tRNAs cope with the degeneracy of the genetic code in two manners: having more than one tRNA (with a specific anti-codon) for a particular amino acid; and 'wobble' base-pairing, i.e. permitting non-standard base-pairing at the 3rd anti-codon position. Lineage: Bacteria; Pseudomonadati; Planctomycetota; Phycisphaerae; Phycisphaerales. The record is from RNAcentral.
GCCCCUGUAGCUCAGCUGGAUAGAGCAGCGCUUUCCUAAAGCGCAGGUCGCGCGUUCGAAUCGCGCCGGGGGUG